This 454-nucleotide ribosomal RNA is filed under the name Leotiomycetes sp. genotype 68. RNAcentral describes it as "eukaryotic LSU rRNA". The stretch from base 165 to 318 matches the Rfam family "5.8S ribosomal RNA". The record is from RNAcentral. Lineage: Eukaryota; Fungi; Ascomycota; Leotiomycetes.
GUGAACCUGCGGAAGGAUCAUUAAUGAGAUCAUGCCCUUUGGGGUAGACCUCCCACCCCCUGUUUACCGUACCCGUUGCUUUGGCGGCCCCGUCGCGAGACGGGCCGCCAGAGGACCUUUAAACCCGUAUUAUCAUUGUCGUCUGAGUACUAUACAAUAGUUAAAACUUUCAACAACGGAUCUCUUGGUUCUGGCAUCGAUGAAGAACGCAGCGAAAUGCGAUAAGUAAUGUGAAUUGCAGAAUUCAGUGAAUCAUCGAAUCUUUGAACGCACAUUGCGCCCCCUGGUAUUCCGGGGGGCAUGCCUGUUCGAGCGUCAUUACAACCCUCAAGCUCUGCUUGGUCUUGGGCGUCACCCCCCAGGUGCGCCUUAAAAUCAGUGGCGGUGCCGUCUGGCUUCAAGCGUAGUAUUACUCCUCGCUUGGGAGCCCGGGCGUGCGUCUUGCCAAAACCCC